Molecule: ribosomal RNA, 383 nt
Filed under: uncultured eukaryote
Lineage: Eukaryota
Description: partial 18S ribosomal RNA
Rfam family: Eukaryotic small subunit ribosomal RNA
Source: RNAcentral
CAAUAGCGUAUAUUAAAGUUGUUGCAGUUAAAAAGCUCGUAGUUGGAUCUCUGGUGGGAGCGAUCGGUCUGGCGCUUAGCGCGAGUACUUGCAUCGUCUCCGGCCAUCCUUGGGGAGAGUCUGUCUGGCAUUAGGUUGUCGGGCAGAGGAUCCUCAUCGUUUACUGUGAAAAAAUUAGAGUGUUCAAAGCAGGCUUAUGCCGUUGAAUAUAUUAGCAUGGAAUAAUAAGAUAGGACUUUGGUACUAUUUUGUUGGUUUGCGCACCAAAGUAAUGAUUAAUAGGGACAGUUGGGGGUAUUCGUAUUCCGUUGUCAGAGGUGAAAUUCUUGGAUUUACGGAAGACGAACUACUGCGAAAGCAUUUACCAAGGAUGUUUUCAUUAA